Molecule: ribosomal RNA, 1108 nt
Filed under: uncultured marine crenarchaeote
Lineage: Archaea; Thermoproteati; Thermoproteota
Description: bacterial SSU rRNA
Rfam family: Archaeal small subunit ribosomal RNA
Source: RNAcentral
GGUUGAUCCCUGCCGGACCUGACUGCUAUCGGAUUGAUACUAAGCCAUGCGAGUCUUUGCAGUAAUGCAAGGCAUACGGCUCAGUAACACGUAGUCAACUUACCCUAUGGACGAGGAUAAUCUCGGGAAACUGAGCAUAAUACUCGAUAGAUCAUAAUGCCUGGAAUGGUUUAUGGUUAAAAUGAUUCGUCGCCAUAGGAUGGGACUGCGGCCUAUCAGCUUGUUGGUGAGGUAAUGGCCCACCAAGGCGAUUACAGGUACGGGCUCUGAGAGGAGAAGCCCGGAGAUGGGUACUGAGACAAGGACCCAGGCCCUAUGGGGCGCAGCAGGCGAGAAAACUUUGCAAUGUGCGAAAGCACGACAAGGUUAAUCCGAGUGAUUUCUGCUAAAGAAAUCUUUUGCAAGUCAUAAAACCACUAGUGAAUAAGGGGUGGGCAAGUUCUGGUGUCAGCCGCCGCGGUAAAACCAGCACCUCAAGUGGUCAGGAGGAUUAUUGGGCCUAAAGCAUCCGUAGCCUGCUCUGUAAGUUUUCGGUUAAAUCCAUGUGCUCAACACAUGGGCUGCCGAAAAUACUGCAUAGCUAGGGAGUGGGAGAGGUAGACGGUACUCAGUAGGAAGGGGUAAAAUCCUUUGAUCUAUUGAUGACCACCUGUGGCGAAGGCGGUCUACCAGAACACGUUCGACGGUGAGGGAUGAAAGCUGGGGGAGCAAACCGGAUUAGAUACCCGGGUAGUCCCAGCUGUAAACGAUGCAGACUCGAUGAUGCAUUGGCAUAUAGCCAGUGCAGUGUCGCAGGGAAGCCGUUAAGUCUGCCGCCUGGGAAGUACGUACGCAAGUAUGAAACUUAAAGGAAUUGGCGGGGGAGCACCACAAGGGGUGAAGCCUGCGGUUCAAUUGGAGUCAACGCCAGAAAUCUUACCCGGAGAGACAGCAGAAUGAAGGUCAAGCUGAAGACUUUACCAGACAAGCUGAGAGGUGGUGCAUGGCCGUCGCCAGCUCGUGCCGUGAGAUGUCCUGUUAAGUCAGGUAACGAGCGAGAUCCUCGCCACUAGUUGCUAUCAUUAUUCUCAGGAAUAGUGGGGCGAAUUAGUGGGACUGCCGUUGUUAA